Molecule: long non-coding RNA, 3114 nt
Organism: Xiphophorus couchianus (Monterrey platyfish)
Lineage: Eukaryota; Metazoa; Chordata; Actinopteri; Cyprinodontiformes; Poeciliidae
Exons: 2
Source: RefSeq, a predicted model, not a curated record
ACUUAAAGUGUCUGUAUUUUUAAACAUUAAAUUCAGUUAUUUAAUUAACCUUUUUCAAUUUCUCAAUAGCAAUUACAACAAAUAAUUGCUUUCUUAUUUAGGUCACCCAGACAGUCGGCUGCUCAUUCAGCUCAAUCUUCUGCCUGUUGCGGCUCAUUCACAUGUUGCUGCUCCUCCUUAAAUCUCCUGAUAUUUUCCCAGCGUAUACAUCCUGGUUGUAUCUGUACUUUUUCAGAACAUUCUGCUAAACCCGACCUUGCUUCUUCCCCUCACCGUGGUUCAUCAAACUUGCUGAUAAUUUGGCCCUGUGUUGGACUUCAUUCCUCAUAGCUCUACCUUUCGAUUUUAUUUAGUUUUUCAAUUACAUUUCAUGUUGGCAUUUAACUUUUGUGGGGCAACAUUUUAUUUCCUGAUUCUUUAACCACAAGUAAAAGUGAGCAGGGAGGAGUAACAAUAUAAUGGAAAUACCUGACAGCGUGUGAAUAAUUAACAACAAAAGAAAUUCACAGAAAAUACAAAAUGAGAACCCUAAAGGUCAUAAGUUACUCCAUUGAAUUUCUCUUUGCAUUUCUGUUUUAAGAUUACUUUUGAUUUAUUUAAAAUAUAGUAUAAUAUGCAUUGUAUUAGAGAAGAACUUUGAAAAAUCAAUGUGUGCAUGGCUGCAAUGAGCAAUCCCUGUAAAUCAAAAGAUCCAUUUGAAUAUGUAUAAAAGGUUUAUUCAUUUUAAAUGACACUUUGGGUCAUUAUAAUCAACGUACAGACACAUUGUCUUAUCACACUUAACACAAAUCAUAAGAUAAAACUGAGUGAAUCAGGUCUCUGAAGAAGCUAUUAAAAGCGUAUUGAGGAAGUCACAGUGCACCUGCACAUUUUAAACACACAACUUGAUUUUAACUUUUGUCUUACAUUUCCUCUCUGUCUUAGUUUCCCAUUGUGAAAAAAUAACCAAAAGAAAAAAUAUUAUUAGAAGUCAGAAUAAGAUACCAACCUGUGAGCCCAAACAGGAUGAGCCUGAAAUCCAUCAGUAAAACCUUGAGAAAAAAUAAAGUAUCCAGAUAAUAUCUUCUAAAUCCAAACACUAUGAAUGCAUUUCACAACUUAUACAAGCUAAUAACCUAUAAGCUGCAAAGCACACCUUAACAAAAUCCUGAGAAGUACUGCAUGUUUAUAGGUAUUUGAGGUGGGUCUGGCAAUCAGUUACCAACAUCUGACAGUACAGGAAUGAGGAUGAGCGUAUUUUGAAAACAAAAGAUAUCAGGCAACAAAGCAGAGAAACGUCAUUGGAUGCACCAGUAUUUAACAACACUAGAGUUCAUAGAAAUUCACUUUGCAUUAAGGCUUUCUUAAAUCAAAAGUCUAUUGCCAAUAUUAUAAUUUGUGAGACUAAAAAGUCAUGUAAGCAGGUCGUCAGCAGCACAGGAGCAGCAGAGGAGAUUGUACUCUGAGUGUUUUCACUCAAUGUCAAACUUCUAGUAAAAGUCAGAAUCCAGUCAUCUGUAGAAAUAUUCAGAUUAUUUUGCAGCUUUCUGGGUCUAUCAGAGGUGAACAAGAAACUUUGUGCAAAAUUGGCAAAAUGCUUAAAUCCAUGAUGUGAGAACAACCUUGAAGAAAACUAAAUAAAUUGGGUCAUUAUAAAUUGUAGAAAAGACAAAAAAGGUCAAACAUUUUUACCAUGAGUAAAAUGUAAAUAUCUUGGUGUUAAACUGGAUUAGAGGCUGGAUUGUUGGGCUCAUCUGCUACUACAAAGACAGAGUGAUAACCUUGAGCAUGUUGGAGCAUAAAUAUGUUUCAAAGAUAAAUAUGAUAAAAAGAACAUCUCUUUAAAUGAACCCACAAACCACUUCUUAUCACAAGAUAUAAUUUACCAAAAUAAUGUCUGGUAAAGCUGUUUCAUUUGUUGCAGUGAAAUAGUUGGAAGAUCCAAACAGAAAGCUAAAGAAGCUGGAAGGACAGAACACAUAUUUUAUUUAGAAGCUUAGAAAAUCUAUAGAAGAUAAAAGAGACAGAUGAGUAUUGUCUUAACAAUGAAGUAUCUCUGAAAAUCCAAAUAAAGUAUUGAUUUUCCACAAUAAAGCUCUGUAAAAUGUAAAAGAAAGAAAACUAUAGUGAAACAGAAAACAGACACAUUAAACAAAAACUUAAAUCAUCCAUGCUUUUGUGAACAAGCAAGCUGACAGAGUAAAUCUGUGCAGAUUAUCUCAUCAUAGAUCUGGGUUUAGCCAGCAUUUUCUUCUUUUCACAUUGAAACUCUAACUUCAAACAGUUUGCAUCAAAUCUUUGUAUUAAAAUAUAUUCAAAUUAUUUACCUCGACUAACAUUUCUAUAUUAGAGAUGUUAUAAACAAAUGUUGGUUUUAUUUCUGUUUUCACACUGAGCUUAGCUUUGGUUUGAUCACUGAGUUUACUUUAGUGGUCCUAUUAUUAAUUAUUUGCAAUUAAAUCAUAUUGUAAAGCAUAAAGUUAAUAGUGUUUCAAAUGUGUGCCAUCUGUUCUUCAGAGUAAUAGAAUAAGGAACAGAAACACAAAGACACAUUUUGCACAUUUGGUUAUGUUGUCUCCUAAAUCUGUCAUGAGUUCAGUUGUUUGUGAGGCAUUACUUCUAAGAACAAGAGGUGACAAUAAUAAACUGAAAGGGUUGAGUUACAGGAAAUAUCUGUUUUAAAACGGGUUCUGAGUAUAGCUUCGGCUUCAAAUAGUUUUAAAGAACUCUCAUUACCUCAUACUGGCUGUCACAUAGUUUGGUUGUCACUGUCAGGACCAAAAUACUGAUCUCUGUGUCACUGAAACCUGUGGUAAAUACUUACACCGCCACCUGGUGGUGGGAGAUCAGAAUAACACAUUCACGUAAUGGCCAGGGGAGCAAAAUGGAGUCACACUGACUUAAGUUUUGCUUCUUCAUACUUUUACUUUGUCACAUACCUAAGUUUUUGUUUUCAUGUUUUUUUUCAAGCUUCUGCAUCUAGCUUUCAGUAUUUCGACUAACAUAUUUUUUUCAAUAAAAAGAAACCAAUUCAUUGAUCCCUAAAACUGUAUUUAGAGGCAACACAAUCAUAGAAAAAAUGUACACAAAUUAUUAAUGAAAAUACAAGAAAUUCUUAAUUCAGUUCUUGGUAAA